GUGGGGAAUAUUGGGCAAUGGGGGAACCCCUGACCCAGCAACGCCGCGUGAGUGAAGAAGGCCUUCGGGUUGUAAAGCUCUGUCAUUAGGGAAGAAGAAGUGACGGUACCUAAUGAGGAAGCCCCGGCUAACUACGUGCCAGCAGCCGCGGUAAUACGUAGGGGGCGAGCGUUGUCCGGAAUUACUGGGCGUAAAGGGUGCGUAGGCGGCGUGUUAAGUUGGAUGUGAAAUACCCGGGCUUAACAUGGGGGGUGCAUUCGAUACUGGCAGGCUAGAGUGCAGGAGAGGGAAGCGGAAUUCCUAGUGUAGCGGUGAAAUGCGUAGAUAUUAGGGGGAACACCAGUGGCGAAGGCGGCUUUCUGGACUGUAACUGACGCUGAUGCACGAAAGCGUGGGGAGCAAACAGGAUUAGAAACCCCGGUAGUCC
RNAcentral lists this ribosomal RNA (427 nucleotides) under uncultured bacterium. Its description in RNAcentral is "partial 16S ribosomal RNA". It matches the Rfam family "Bacterial small subunit ribosomal RNA", at positions 354 to 796 of the family's 1533-position model. The record is from RNAcentral.